This 138-nucleotide non-coding RNA is filed under the name Necator americanus (New World hookworm). RNAcentral's name for it is "Eukaryotic large subunit ribosomal RNA". It matches the Rfam family "Eukaryotic large subunit ribosomal RNA", at positions 815 to 954 of the family's 3401-position model. The record is from Rfam by way of RNAcentral. Lineage: Eukaryota; Metazoa; Nematoda; Chromadorea; Rhabditida; Ancylostomatidae.
CCAGUAAAAUGUUGAAUUAUGCUUACAAUAGGACGAAGUAAGAGGAAACUCUAGUGGAUUCCCGUGCAGGUUCUAGCGUGCAAAUCGACAGAGAGAGGGUAAAGAGGCGAAGGAUUAAUCGAAACAGCUAGCAGCUGG